Molecule: non-coding RNA, 182 nt
Filed under: chicken gut metagenome
Description: 6S / SsrS RNA
Rfam family: 6S / SsrS RNA
About the family: E. coli 6S RNA was the first non coding RNA to be sequenced, but its function was unknown until recently.
Source: RNAcentral
UUCCCUGCGUAGUGCGUUUAGACUGGAAUUUUAGAACCAACAAAUUUUAAAAGGGAGCCUAAUCUCGGAAUAUGGCGUGUAUGCUUACCAUAGAGUAAGAAACCCAGGAGUAUUCUGGACGGCACCCACCUGUGAGAGCAGGUCCUUAAAAUUUCAUUCAUCUUACGGCUAAGGCGGGGCUU